Sinocyclocheilus rhinocerous is the source of this 146-nucleotide long non-coding RNA. RefSeq lists it as uncharacterized. The transcript is spliced from 2 exons. The record is from RefSeq and is a predicted model, not a curated record. NCBI's taxonomy places the organism in Eukaryota, Metazoa, Chordata, Actinopteri, Cypriniformes, Cyprinidae.
GAUAUCUUGUGAGCAAAGCUGCACCAGGAAACGCAGAGACACUCCUGUCAAGACCAUCUCUAGUGAGCAGACUGUGGUUUCUAGUGGAGAAGUUACUCUGGUCAUGUAAAUCUAGUGGUUUCAAUAAACUUUGGGAUGCACAAAGA